GAUGAACGCUGGCGGCGUGCCUAAUACAUGCAAGUCGAGCGAACAGACGAGGAGCUUGCUCCUCUGACGUUAGCGGCGGACGGGUGAGUAACACGUGCAUCACCUACCUAUAAGUCUUGGAUAACUUCGGAAAACCGGAUCUAAUACCGCAUAAUAUAUUGUACCGCAUGGUUCAAUAGUGAAUGACGGUUUUGCUGUCUCUUUUAGAUGGAUCCGCGCCGAAUUAGCUAGUUGGUAAGGUAACGGCUUACCAAGGCACCGAUGCGUAGCCGACCUGAGAGAGGGAUCGGCCACACUGGAACUGAGAAACGGCCCAGAUCCUUAGGGGAGGCAGCAGGAGGGAAUCUUCCGCAAUGGGCGAAAGCCUGACGGAGCAACGCAGGGGGGGUGAUGAGGGGCUUCGGAUGGUAAAACUCUGUUAUGAGGGAAAAAAAAAUGUGGAAGUAACCAUGCAGGUCUUGAGGGUACCGAAGCAGAAAGCCACGGUAAACUAGGU
RNAcentral lists this ribosomal RNA (496 nucleotides) under uncultured bacterium. Its description in RNAcentral is "partial 16S ribosomal RNA". It matches the Rfam family "Bacterial small subunit ribosomal RNA", at positions 28 to 506 of the family's 1533-position model. The record is from RNAcentral.